Molecule: ribosomal RNA, 198 nt
Filed under: uncultured bacterium
Lineage: Bacteria
Description: partial 16S ribosomal RNA
Rfam family: Bacterial small subunit ribosomal RNA
Source: RNAcentral
ACGCUCGACACCUACGGGAGGCAGCAGUGGGGAAUAUUGCACAAUGGGGGAAACCCUGAUGCAGCGAUGCCGCGUGAAGGAAGAAGUAUCUCGGUAUGUAAACUUCUAUCAGCGGGGAAGAAAAUGACGGUACCUGACUAAGAAGCCCCGGCUAACUACGUGCCAACAGCCGCGGUAAUCUGAGCGGGCUGGCAAGGC